Molecule: ribosomal RNA, 274 nt
Filed under: uncultured bacterium
Lineage: Bacteria
Description: partial 16S ribosomal RNA
Rfam family: Bacterial small subunit ribosomal RNA
Source: RNAcentral
CUACGGAGGGUGCAAGCGUUACUCGGAAUCACUGGGCGUAAAGCGCGCGCAGGCGGGCUGAUAAGUUGGAUGUGAAAGCCUACGGCUCAACCGUAGAACUGCAUCCAAAACUGUCAGUCUAGAGUCUGGGAGGGGAAGAUGGAAUUAGUUGUGUAGGGGUAAAAUCCGUAGAGAUAACUAGGAAUACCAAAAGCGAGGGCGAUCUUCUGGAACAGUACUGACGCUGAGGCGCGAAAGCGUGGGGAGCAAACAGGAUUAGAAACCCUAGUAGUCC